GAUAAACGCUGGCGGCGUGCCUAACACAUGCAAGUCGAACGCCCUUUUGCGCAAGUGAGAGGGAGUGGCGGACGGGUGAGUACCACGUGGGUACCUACCUUGAGGUGAGGAAUACCACCGAGAAAUCGGUGACAAGACCGCAUACGCUUGGCAACAAGCAAAGUCUCGCAAGAGACGCCACAAGAUGGGCCUGCGCCUGAUUAGCUAGUUGGUGAGGUAAUGGCNCACCAAGGCGACGAUCAGUAGCUGGUCUGAGAGGAUGAUCAGCCACACUGGGAUUGAGAACGGCCCAGACUCCGACGGGGGCAGCAGUGAGG
RNAcentral lists this ribosomal RNA (317 nucleotides) under uncultured bacterium. RNAcentral's name for it is "bacterial SSU rRNA". It matches the Rfam family "Bacterial small subunit ribosomal RNA", at positions 28 to 359 of the family's 1533-position model. The record is from RNAcentral.